This is a non-coding RNA of Parelaphostrongylus tenuis, 71 nucleotides long. The record is from the annotation of a GenBank genome assembly. Lineage: Eukaryota; Metazoa; Nematoda; Chromadorea; Rhabditida; Metastrongylidae.
GCUUCUGUGGUGCAGUGGUAGCACGCGUCCUGGGUAUGGACGAUACGCAGUUUCAACUCCUGUCUGAAACU